UACGUAGGUGGCAAGCGUUGUCCGGAUUUACUGGGCGUAAAGGAUGCGUAGGCGGACAUUUAAGUCAGAUGUGAAAUGCCCGAGCUUAACUUGGGUGCUGCAUUUGAAACUGGGUGUCUAGAGUGCAGGAGAGGUAAGUGGAAUUCCUAGUGUAGCGGUGAAAUGCGUAGAGAUUAGGAAGAACACCAGUGGCGAAGGCGACUUACUGGACUGUAACUGACGCUGAGGCAUGAAAGCGUGGGGAGCAAACAGG
Molecule: ribosomal RNA, 253 nt
Filed under: uncultured bacterium
Lineage: Bacteria
Description: partial 16S ribosomal RNA
Rfam family: Bacterial small subunit ribosomal RNA
Source: RNAcentral